RNAcentral lists this ribosomal RNA (446 nucleotides) under uncultured bacterium. RNAcentral describes it as "partial 16S ribosomal RNA". It matches the Rfam family "Bacterial small subunit ribosomal RNA", at positions 338 to 795 of the family's 1533-position model. The record is from RNAcentral.
CCUACGGGUGGCAGCAGUCGAGAAUCAUUCACAAUGGGGGAAACCCUGAUGGUGCGACGCCGCGUGGGGGAAUGAAGGUCUUCGGAUUGUAAACCCUUGUCAUGUGGGAGCAAAUUAAAAAGAUAGUACCCCAAGAGGAAGAGACGGCUAACUCUGUGCCAGCAGCCGCGGUAAUACAGAGGUCUCAAGCGUUGUUCGGAAUCACUGGGCGUAAAGCGUGCGUAGGCUGUUUCGUAAGUCGUGUGUGAAAGGCGCGGGCUCAACCCGCGGACGGCACAUGAUACUGCGAGACUAGAGUAAUGGAGGGGGAACCGGAAUUCUCGGUGUAGCAGUGAAAUGCGUAGAUAUCGAGAGGAACACUCGUGGCGAAGGCGGGUUCCUGGACAGUAACUGACGCUGAGGCACGAAGGCCAGGGGAGCGAAAGGGAUUAGAUACCCCUGUAGUC